RNAcentral lists this ribosomal RNA (250 nucleotides) under Pichia sp. Its description in RNAcentral is "partial large subunit ribosomal RNA". The record is from RNAcentral. Lineage: Eukaryota; Fungi; Ascomycota; Pichiomycetes; Pichiales; Pichiaceae.
AGUAGCGGCGAGUGAGCGGCAAGAGCUCAGAUUUGAAAUCGCCUCGGCGAGUUGUAAAUUGCAGGUUGGAGUCUUUGUGGCGGCGUGUGUCUAAGUCCCUUGGAACAGGGCGCCAUUGAGGGUGAGAGCCCCGUGCGGCACGCGUCYAAGCUUUAAGACCCUUCUGACGAGUCGAGUUGUUUGGGAAUGCAGCUCUAAGUGGGUGGUAAAUUCCAUCUAAGGCUAAAUACUGGCGAGAGACCGAUAGCGA